This 496-nucleotide ribosomal RNA is filed under the name uncultured bacterium. RNAcentral describes it as "partial 16S ribosomal RNA". It matches the Rfam family "Bacterial small subunit ribosomal RNA", at positions 28 to 506 of the family's 1533-position model. The record is from RNAcentral.
GAUGAACGCUGGCGGCGUGCCUAAUACAUGCAAGUCGAGCGAACAGACGAGGAGCUUGCUCCUCUGACGUUAGCGGCGGACGGGUGAGUAACACGUGGAUAACCUACCUAUAAGACUGGGAUAACUUCGGGAAACCGGAGCUAAUACCGGAUAAUAUAUUGAACCGCAUGGUUCAAUAGUGAAAGACGGUUUUGCUGUCACUUAUAGAUGGAUCCGCGCCGCAUUAGCUAGUUGGUAAGGUAACGGCUUACCAAGGCAACGAUGCGUAGCCGACCUGGGAGGGUGACCGCCCAAACGGGAACUGGGACCGGGCCCAGACUCCUAGGGGGGGCAGCAGUGGGGAAUCUUCCGAAAGGGGGGAAAGCCUGACGGGGCAACGCCGGGGGGGUGAGGAAGGUCUUCGGAUCGUAAAACCCUGUUAUUAGGGAAAAAAAAAUGUGUAAGUAACUAUGCACGUCUUGACGGUACCAAAUCAGAAAGCCACGGCUAACUCCGU